GUCAAAUGUACGGUUAAAGGGUUAUUGCGCAUUUUUUGCCGAUCCGCACACAUUGGAAUUUCGCUAACUCCUCCGAAGGCUUUCGUUCCACCGGCACCACAUUUGCUCAGGCCAAUCUACACCCCAUGGCCAUUAAAAGUUAUUCAAAUCAUGAUGCUGCACCCCACGGUUUAGGUUCUAGGGGGCGCCAAAGAUAACCCUAAAAUCCACAUAUUUCAAAGUCUUAUAACUUUUUAUUUUUGCCCUCACUGGCCUCCAAGUUUUCUAGGAUGAUGCAAUGUCCAGCCAUCAACACAUUUGUGAAGGAAUUUUUACUCCCCAAAAGAGCGCCCCCCAUGGCAGGAGAAAAAAGUCCAUUUUUUCUUGUCCCAUAAGGUGAAAAUUCACACUAUUGACUGUCACGCCUGUACGCUUUGUCAAAAUUACACAAAAAUUGACACACACAUGUAUCUCAAUAAGAUCUACAAAAAAGUCAAUGCUGGCGUAUCUGUCAAAUGUACGGUUAAAGGGUUAUUGCGCAUUUUUUGCCGAUCCGCACACAUUGGAAUUUCGCUAACUCCUCCGAAGGCUUUCGUUCCACCGGCACCACAUUUGCUCAGGCCAAUCUACACCCCAUGGCCAUUAAAAGUUAUUCAAAUCAUGACGCUGCACCCCACGGUUUAGGUUCUAGGGGGCGCCAAAGAUAACCCUAAAAUCCACAUAUUUAAAAGUCUUAUAACUUUUUAUUUUUGUCCUCUCUGGCCUCCAAGUUUUCUAGGAUGAUGCAAUGUCCAGCC
Molecule: long non-coding RNA, 776 nt
Filed under: Xyrichtys novacula (pearly razorfish)
Lineage: Eukaryota; Metazoa; Chordata; Actinopteri; Labriformes; Labridae
Source: RNAcentral